Non-coding RNA from Podospora didyma, 124 nucleotides. The record is from the annotation of a GenBank genome assembly. Lineage: Eukaryota; Fungi; Ascomycota; Sordariomycetes; Sordariales; Podosporaceae.
GAGAAGAUGGCCGUGGGGUUAAGGCGCCACGUUAAGGUUCUUCAAGUCUUUGAUUCCUGUCUAAAUAAUAAAAGACUCAGAGUCCGUGGUUCGAAAGAGCGGGGUUCGAUUCCCAAUCUACUCA